RNAcentral lists this ribosomal RNA (427 nucleotides) under uncultured Comamonas sp. Its description in RNAcentral is "bacterial SSU rRNA". It matches the Rfam family "Bacterial small subunit ribosomal RNA", at positions 355 to 774 of the family's 1533-position model. Lineage: Bacteria; Pseudomonadati; Pseudomonadota; Betaproteobacteria; Burkholderiales; Comamonadaceae. The record is from RNAcentral.
UGGGGAAUUUUGGACAAUGGGCGAAAGCCUGAUCCAGCAAUGCCGCGUGCAGGAUGAAGGCCCUCGGGUUGUAAACUGCUUUUGUACGGAACGAAAAGCCUGGGGCUAAUAUCCCCGGGUCAUGACGGUACCGUAAGAAUAAGCACCGGCUAACUACGUGCCAGCAGCCGCGGUAAUACGUAGGGUGCAAGCGUUAAUCGGAAUUACUGGGCGUAAAGCGUGCGCAGGCGGUUUUGUAAGACAGUGGUGAAAUCCCCGGGCUCAACCUGGGAACUGCCAUUGUGACUGCAAAGCUAGAGUGCGGCAGAGGGGGAUGGAAUUCCGCGUGUAGCAGUGAAAUGCGUAGAUAUGCGGAGGAACACCGAUGGCGAAGGCAAUCCCCUGGGCCUGCACUGACGCUCAUGCACGAAAGCGUGGGGAGCAAACA